This 407-nucleotide ribosomal RNA is filed under the name uncultured bacterium. RNAcentral describes it as "partial 16S ribosomal RNA". It matches the Rfam family "Bacterial small subunit ribosomal RNA", at positions 28 to 526 of the family's 1533-position model. The record is from RNAcentral.
GACGAACGCUGGCGGCGUGCCUAAUACAUGCAAGUAGAACGCAGUUGCGAACGGGUGAGUAACGCGUAGGUAACUGCCUCAUAGCGGGGGAUAACUAUUGGAAACGAUAGCUAAUACCGCAUACUGUGAGAUGGACCUGCGUUGUAUUAGGUAGUUGGUGAGGUAAAGGCUCACCAAGGCGACGAGACAAAGCCGACCUGAGAGGGUGAUCGGCAAAACUUGGACUGGAACAAGGGCCAGACUCCUUCGGGAGGCAGGAAUAGGGAAACCUCGGGAAAGGACGGAAAGCCUACCCGGGAACCCCGCGUGAGGUAAAAAAGUUUUCGGGUCGGAAAGCCUUGGUUGUAGAAAAGCGGUAACUAACCAGAAAGGGACGGCUAACUACGUGCCAGCAGCCGCGGUAAUAC